GUUUCUACAAAGGUCUUUGUUGUAGCAUAAACAGUGAGCUGUGCGUUUCCCGGUGAGUCGCAGUGUUCACAGUUCUUACAGUUCAUCUCCUUCCAGGUAGAACAGUGCGAUGUGAGUCUGCGGUGAACCCUGGGGGCCAAGGGGCCAACCCAACAGGCGAGGCCGCCUGCAGGGGGCGGUAGAGACCACGCGUGGACACGCAUCUGCAGCACAACAGGGAGUAAAAGUAGAAGACUCGCGUGGCCUGUUGUUGUGUUCAAUUCUAUUGGACAAACAUUUGCAAAUGAAGCAAACUCCUUUUUUCUUUCCUGCUGCAUGUGAGUGUUUGUUUAGUUCUCCAGCUGAUCAAAGAGAGGAAGGGAAAGGGGGAGAAAAAAAGAAGACAAAACUGUGAUGAGUUUUAAAAAAACAAAAUUCCCCUGUAAUCACGGUAACUCAACCAGGAUAUGAAAUGGGAAAUGUGGCACGCAUGCGGUUUUUUGCGGGAAAAACCCCAGGAGGCGAGGUUUGUCAAAACGCCCGCACACGGUCCCCGUGGACGCCGCCCGCCGGGCCGGGGCGUCGCGGCGGACAAUGAGCCGUGUUUCCCCGACACAGAGACUCUGUGUCCGCCGCCGCGGCCUCCACAUCCCGCGCGCUCCCGACGGAGGCGAGUGGCUUCGGGUUCGGCGCAGCACGUCCCCGCGAUCAAUCACCGCAGCGCUGCGUCCCCGAGGGUGGUGGAGAUGCGGGGCACCAUCGUGGGCCGACAGCCGUGGGCCCCGGGCACCGGGCCCCGGGCCGCGGGUCAGCAUCCGCCGGUAGCGAAUGAAAAGGAAAAGGAAAAAGAAAGAAGUGGAGAGAAAAGUCGUCAUCCGUCCCAUCUGGUUGACAUUAAGGCCGAGUCGGUCCUGAUGGCUCCUGCUGCUGGAGUGUCUGAGGCUUUGACGGCGGCCCUGUGUCGUGCGGCGCUCGGUGUCCGAGCCGUGCCAGGCGGCGUGUGUGGUCAACAGGCGACUGGGAAGCUGCAGGGGGGAGCGAGAGGGUCUACGGGUCGAGGCAAGAAGCCCCCUUUUCACUCCAAGUCAGUGCCUCCUCGCCAUGUAUCUGUUUGCUCGUCUUGUCUUUCCUUCCUUGUUCGUCUUGUGUAUUUCUGGAUCUGGAUCUGGCUGACCUUGAAUAACUCUCACCUGGAGUACGCAUCGCAUGUGCCUGUGUUGGGAUAGCGCCGCGUCCUGUAAAGAUGUAUUUUAAUCGACCCCUAGCCUUCCCGCUCACACACUUACACCUCAUCGUUCUCCCCUCCCUCCCUCCCUCCCUCCCUCCCUCUGUAGCCUAGGGGCAUAUGGUUUGACUGGGCAAGAGAUAAGAGAGAUGUGUCAGCCUGCGGUACUGAACAAACACAUCUUUCAUUUCUUCCUUUCUUCUCCCCUGCUUUGACUCCUCUUCCUCUGCCCCACUCCCUUCUCCUCUCCUCUCCCCUUUUUCUUCCUCCCCUCCUCUCCUCUUCCAGAUCUCCUCACCUCUUUAGUCUCCGUGACGGCUGGGUACAAUUAGGAGCAGAAAGC
Molecule: long non-coding RNA, 1547 nt
Organism: Scophthalmus maximus (turbot)
Lineage: Eukaryota; Metazoa; Chordata; Actinopteri; Pleuronectiformes; Scophthalmidae
Source: Ensembl